AUGACAGCGAGUUCACAGUCUCAGGCAGGAUUGAGCUUUCAACUGCUCUGCAGAUUCUCAUCAGAGGUGCAGACUCUUCUUUGUGGCUCAUACCUACAUUUUAUUCUUCCUGAAAAUAUAGUUUGUAUUCGGGGGACACAGGCAUCUUCUAUUCACUUCAUCAUCAACACUUGUCAAACAAAAAACCCCCUACUACUCAUGCUACAGACUCAUGCAGCUCCCUGCAUUUUGAAAGAAUUGCCUCCCUCUUCUGAGCCUGGCUCAAGGUAAGACCCACUCCUAUGUCUUCCUGUAGAGCCCAAACUUGCACUGAUUGUGUUCUAAUUUCCUGUGUAUUGCUUGCUCUUCCGCUAGACUGGAGGAUAAAGGAAAUGUGUUUCAUUAGUAUUUACUCCCACUUCCCAAACAUGUCACAAUAAGCACACAGUAGAUACGUUCUAAAUGUUUGAAGGUCUGUUGUCAAAUAUUCCUUAUAAUCGUGGUGCUGGAGUAAAAGUCAUGUAAUGUUGAACACAUUCCGAUUCUGAAAGCAGACAGGCAGGGUAAACUGGCCAGUACACUAAUGGCAAGUGUGAGUUGGGGUGAUUUUGUGUCCAUGUCAUAGCUGCCUAGAUUAGGUGACUUGAUGACAUUGACAGUUCUUACAGACCCAGAUAAAUCUACCUUUUAAUGUCAAGGUAAUGCUAUUUAUUUUAUCUAGAUCUUCCCUCCAUCUGGGUCACUUGUCGUAGUUUAACUUUCUACAAUGCAUUGGGCCCCAGGUAGACAAGGGAGCAUCCUGCUUGCUUUCAGGCAGGAGCCAUGUAUUCACCAUUCAGUCAAAAAUUUACAACAGUAAAGAGUAAGUAUGCCAAAAAGAACUUGUAUCUGCCAUUCCCUCCACCUCUUGUCGUGUAGACAUCUCACUUGCUGUAGACACUUCUCAGAAUUUAAUGUCUUUGAAGGAAGGGGAUCUAUUCACCCCACAAUGUGGUUUUGGCCCAAAUCUUCUAAGCCAGUUAUCUGUCUUGAAUAUAAAUAAUUAUCUUUUCCACUGCUGGUAAAAAAACUAACUGUAUUAGACCUUGAGAUAUCUAAAAUAGAGACAUUCUAAGUGAUUUUCUAGAGUAAUUCUGACAGCAGGUGAUUUUCUCUGUGCAAUCUGAUUUUACAUGCAAACUUCAAUUUCACUGAAAUGGUCUUGAGAAUGCCAGAGGAUACACAGAAAAGAUCAUAGCAAAAGGCUCUGGUGGCCAGAGGCAGCUUGGGGCAUAUGUUGACCAAGGGCAGCCCUAGUCAUAGAAUGGCCAAGUCAUUGCAUUGGGGACCAAAGAAAAACAAAUUUAUUCUACUUUAUUGGCCUGAUGUUUGGUCAUUGUCCAAGAACUGUGAGUCGUUUGGUGAGUGCCCUUUUUUUCCCUCUGUUUUUUUCGUUUGUUUGUUUUUUUGUUUUUUGUUUUUUAAAUCAAUUUGAGAAGGCUCUUCCUUCUGCUCAGAAAGCUUAUGGCUCUCUUCUCUUCUUCCUCUUGAUGCAGAAGUACUAUGUCGUAGUACUUUCCCUGAAGUACAAUAUCAAAAUGAGGUAUCACUUUAAUGUGUUCCCAUAAGACCUUGGUUUUCCCUCUAUAGUAUCUACUGCACUCACCUAUAGUUAUUGGUUUUUAUGAAGUAAUAGGUUGUACAUUGUGUAUGGACAGGACUGUAUCAUUUUGCUUAUUUAAACCAAGUGCCUGGUUCAUAUAUAUAUUAAACACUCAAUAAAUGAUUGCUAAUAAGAAAAUGAAUGAAUGCAUGGCUAAAUCCUGGAGCUCACCCACCCUUACUCCAGCCCUAAGAGGAAAGUUUGAGGAAUUUUGUCAUGCCUAGUAAACCAUGGUAAGAGGAGCCAAAGAUGGUUUUUUGCUCAGUUUGUACCAUUGAUUAAACAAGAUUAUUUUGUUUUAAAUAGGUGUUGGUAUCACAAAAUAGCAGACCUUAGCAAGACUGAAGCCUAAGGAGGAUAAGUCAAAUUAUCCAAGUUUGCCCUCUGAAUCUGAUUGUGAAUAUGCAUGUCAAACACAAUAUUCAUCUGCUUUAGUGAUUUUUCUCUUUAAUAUUCUGAUAUUUUAUCAUCAACUUCCUUUAAUAUAGGAAGCAUCUUGGUGGUUUCUGGCUUUGGAGUCAUCCAAUCUUAGAUUUAAAUCCUGAACUCCACCAUUUAAGAGCUAUGUGAUCUCGGCUUCCUUCAACUAAAAGCUGUGAUAAUGACUUUCAUGUGAUAGCUUUGUUGUGAGAAGCAAAUGUGCUCAUGUAUGUUAAAAUAUCAAGCAUAGUAUCCAGCACAAAACAGGCACUAUGUACAUGUUAAUUCCAUCCCCUUUCAUGUGUAUCCAGAGAACUAAUGUUACCAUUUCAUGUAUUGCAGCUCAACUUAUCACCUUUUUCAGAAAACACUGGAGGCCUUUGCCGGAUGCAAGCAGCUAUCUCGUUUGGUUAUAUGUUAAUUCUAUAUUUAGUCUGCCCAUACACAGAGAGGAGCUAAAAAUCUUAUCCUUCCAAUUAUUCAUAUUGCUCUUCAAUAUCUUCUUAAAUUCCCUCACUGGUAGCUGAGCUACUUUAUACAGACACAUCCGGUUUUAAAGAUUCCUCUUUCUUGGCAUGACUCAUCCCUCCUGCGGCCAGUUUUAUUCCUCCUGUUAUUUCCCUAGGAUCCAUUCAUUGUUUUCCGGGAGCAUUUCUUAAAUGCGUCUCCUUGAACACUUUGUAUUAUUCCUGAUUUUUUCCAACUAUAGAAAUAGUAAUUAUUUUGCUCUAGUUAUUUCUUGGCUUCCUGGCCUUUUUUUCUAAUGUACCUGUGUUUUCACACAUAAUUUUAAUGAAAUGCCCAACUCGAUUACUAAAAGGCACUGGAGUAUUACAAGGGUUUGACCAUUCUUUCCAGAAGUUCUCUCUGGUUUCAUGUCCUCCUGUGAUUUACCAAGUGUCACUUAAUUUUUCUUUUUCUUUUUUUACACACCAUGGCCAACUUUUCAUCACAGUCAUUAUCCACCUCUCUUGGUGAUCUACUUAACAUUUCAUUAAAAAAUAUGUUCAGCUCAGCUCCUUUCUUCCUACCCUUCACAUGUCAACAAGACCUGCUUUCCCCCUUUCACUUGUGAUUCUUCUGGUGCUCAGAAUUUGUCAAUCAUUAGUUCUCUUCUUGGUGCAGUCUCUCUACACAUCCUCCCUCAGCAGCGUCUGUAUUUCAGUCUAGGCUUCAUUCCCAUCAGCUGCCAUUCUUUUUCCCACCUGUUUUCUGUCCUUCUUUUUACCAUUAGAUGUUAGGACAUUGCACCGAUUUUAGUCAAUGAAUACUUUGAUGAUAGUGUCUCAAUAAGCCUUUUAAAAGAAAAGCAGAAAUGGGAAAAGACAAGGAUAAAUGUCCUAUUUUAUGAAUCUCAUUCUUUUUAAAGUUAAAAUCUGCAGAAUGAUUAGAAACCUAAUAACUUUGCUUCCACAUAUUUUGGAGGUUGUUAGAUGUGGAUGGAGAGAAAGUCUGCCAAGGAAGGGGGUGCUGAUGAGGGGGAGGAGGGGAUAGGG
This 3537-nucleotide long non-coding RNA is filed under the name Macaca mulatta (Rhesus monkey). Its description in RNAcentral is "lncRNA (ENSMMUG00000060680.1)". The record is from RNAcentral. Lineage: Eukaryota; Metazoa; Chordata; Mammalia; Primates; Cercopithecidae.